ACGCUCGACACCUACGGAGGCAGCAGUGGGGAAUAUUGCACAAUGGGGGAAACUCUGACGCAGUGACGCCGCGUGCAGGAAGAAGGUUUUCGGAUUGUAAACUGCUUUAGACAGGGAAGAAAGAAAUGACAGUACCUGUAGAAUAAGCUCCGGCUAACUACGUGCCAGCAGCCGCGGUAAUCUGAGCGGGCUGGCAAGGC
RNAcentral lists this ribosomal RNA (200 nucleotides) under uncultured bacterium. RNAcentral describes it as "partial 16S ribosomal RNA". It matches the Rfam family "Bacterial small subunit ribosomal RNA", at positions 328 to 539 of the family's 1533-position model. The record is from RNAcentral.